Molecule: ribosomal RNA, 252 nt
Filed under: uncultured bacterium
Lineage: Bacteria
Description: partial 16S ribosomal RNA
Rfam family: Bacterial small subunit ribosomal RNA
Source: RNAcentral
UACGUAGGGGGCGAGCGUUGUCCGGAAUUAUUGGGCGUAAAGCGCGCGCAGGCGGUUUUUUAAGUCUGGUGUUUAAGUGCGGGGCUCAACCCCGUGCCGCACUGGAAACUGGGGAACUUGAGUGCAGGAGAGGAAAGCGGAAUUCCACGUGUAGCGGUGAAAUGCGUAGAGAUCGGAAGGAACACCAGUGGCGAAGGCGACACUCUGGCCCAAUACUGACGCUGAGGUGCGAAAGCGUGGGGAUCAAACAGG